RNAcentral lists this ribosomal RNA (303 nucleotides) under uncultured bacterium. RNAcentral's name for it is "partial 16S ribosomal RNA". It matches the Rfam family "Bacterial small subunit ribosomal RNA", at positions 507 to 808 of the family's 1533-position model. The record is from RNAcentral.
AGCAGUCGCCGCGGGAAUACGUAGGUCCCGAGCGUUGUCCGGAUUUAUUGGGCGUAAAGCGAGCGCAGGCGGUUAGAUAAGUCUGAAGUUAAAGGCUGUGGCUUAACCAUAGUACGCUUUGGAAACUGUUUAACUUGAGUGCAAGAGGGGAGAGUGGAAUUCCAUGUGUAGCGGUGAAAUGCGUAGAUAUAUGGAGGAACACCGGUGGCGAAAGCGGCUCUCUGGCUUGUAACUGGCGCUGAGGCUCGAAAGCGUGGGGAGCAAACAGGAUUAGAUACCCCGGUAGUCCCUGUCUCUUAUACA